This 786-nucleotide ribosomal RNA is filed under the name uncultured bacterium. Its description in RNAcentral is "bacterial SSU rRNA". It matches the Rfam family "Bacterial small subunit ribosomal RNA", at positions 8 to 796 of the family's 1533-position model. The record is from RNAcentral.
AGAGUUUGAUCAUGGCUCAGAACGAACGCUGGCGGCGUGCUUAACACAUGCAAGUCGAGUGCGCGUGCCGUAGCAAUACGGUAUGGCGCACGGCGCACGGGUGCGUAACACGUGGGCAAUCUGCCCUCCGAUGGGGAAUAACUCCGGGAAACCGAAGCUAAUUCCGCAUAACAUUCCUUGGACUCCGGUCCGGGGAUUCAAAGCAGCAAUGCGUCGGAGGAGGAGCCCGCGCCCGAUUAGCUAGUUGGUGAGGUAACGGCUCACCAAGGCUAUGAUCGGUAGCUGGUCUGAGAGGAUGGCCAGCCACACUGGAACUGAGACACGGUCCAGACUCCUACGGGAGGCAGCAGUGGGGAAUCUUGCGCAAUGGGCGAAAGCCUGACGCAGCGACGCCGCGUGGGGGAUGAAGCUUCUCGGAGUGUAAACCCCUUUCGACCGGGACGAAUGCCCGCAAGGGAGUGACGGUACCGGUAGAAGAAGCCCCGGCUAACUACGUGCCAGCAGCCGCGGUAAGACGUAGGGGGCCAGCGUUGUUCGGAAUUACUGGGUGUAAAGGGUUCAUAGGCGGUGUGGCAAGUCGGGAGUGAAAUUUCUGGGCUUAACUCAGAACCUGCUUCCGAAACUGCUGUGCUCGAGUGUGGGAGAGGCGCGUGGAAUUGCAGGUGUAGCGGUGAAAUGCGUAGAUAUCUGCAGGAACACCCGUGGCGAAAGCGGCGCGCUGGACCACUACUGACGCUGAGGAACGAAAGCUAGGGGAGCAAACAGGAUUAGAUACCCUAGUAGUCC